Molecule: long non-coding RNA, 4476 nt
Organism: Ahaetulla prasina
Lineage: Eukaryota; Metazoa; Chordata; Lepidosauria; Squamata; Colubridae
Exons: 2
Source: RefSeq, a predicted model, not a curated record
GACAGGGCAGGAAACCUUUUAACAGUCCUGGGCACGUAGCCAAGACUCCCAGCCUUGCUUCUGAGUUUGACGCAGAAAGUAGAAAGGAAAGGAGAGUUUUUCAUUCACCACAAGACGGAAAGUGACCAUUUCUCAACUUAAGGGCAUUUGACCUUUUACUGUAUUUCUAGGCUCUGACUCUAAGCUUCAGGAAAAUCUAGAAGGAGGGUUAAUAAAAGGAGCUGAUAACCAAAACAAUCUAUUCAGAAACAGCGGCUAAGAUUCACUCAGCAAUAGUCAGAAUAGAAGACAGGAGUCUCUCUUCUGCAGAAUUAAGAUAGUCCUUGACUUACAACUCUUUGUUUAACGACUGAAUUUACAACGACACUGGAAAAAAAUGACUUACAAAUGGUCAUCACAUUUAUAACCAUGGCAGCAGAGUCACAUGAUCAAAAUCCAGGCACUUGGCAACCAGCAUGUACUUACAACGGAUUGCAGUGCUACAAGCUCAUAGGAUUGCCAUUUUCAACCUUCCCAAUUAGUUUCCAACAAGCAAAAUUAAUCAGGAAAGCCAGAUUUGUUUAAGGACCAUGUGAUUCAAUUCAGAAGUCCAGUGAAUCACUUAACAAGAAAGGAAUAAGAAGUUGUGGGAGAAAAGAUAAUUUGGGGGGCACUUGUAAUGUGUAAUCCUAUCUCUGCCACCAUCUAGAGCAGGGGUCUCCAACCUUGGCAACUUUUAAGACUUGUGGACUUCAACUCCCAUAGUUCCUCAGCCAGCUUUGGUGGCUGAGGAACUCUGGGAGUUGAAGUCCACAAGUCUUAAAGUUGCCAAGGUUGGAGACCCCUGAUCUAGAGGCACUUCUAAUUUGUGUUGGUUGUGUUCGGGUAGCUGAGGAACUUGUUGGCAAAAUGCCCUUUUACAAAUCAACAUAUUGCUUUUGAUGUUGGAAGCACUCCCAGAAAACAUUAUGUUUUAUAUCUAAAUCAAAAUUCUCUCGGCAAAUCUGAGAAAUAGCAAUCACAGAGAGAGCUGGACAGAUAUUAGCUACCGUAGGAAAAAUACAUUGGAAAUAAAACAAUGUGCAAAUUAAUAUUAACUACAUUGCAUUGCAUGAAAGUGGAAGAAAGAAAAUGGUUGCUGGGAAAAUCCAACUUCGCUUUCUUGCAAAAAAAAAAAAAGCUGAGCAUUAAUUUCUAAACUUUGUUGCUGUUUUUGUUGUUGUUCUAUUACCUAAUGUACAAUCUGCUUAUUUAAAUUAAUAAGAGUGACUGUUUCCAAAGUGAGUUUUCUGUAACACUUGUAAUUGUGACAGUUAUUGUAUUUAUUUAUUUUAGUAAAUAGCAUUUAAUAGCAUUAAUUAAAGAUUGUAGUUCUUAAAAAUAGAAAUUCUCCCUAAAAGUGUCCAAGUGGGCAGGGUUUUUUUUAAAUUGUAUAAUCUGAAAUUAGCUUCUUUGUAUAAAAUCUUGCUGAAAGAAACAUGAAUUCUGCAAAAUAUUUCUAAAUACCACCUCUCCUGAUUUUCAUGUACUAUUGUAAUUCAAAAUAUCCAGGGCUACAUGACUGCAUUAAUACAUGUGUGUACAAAAUAUGGCAUUUAUAUCUAGAAAAAUCACCUUGAGUAUUGGGACAGGAAAAAAUAAAACAAAUGCAGUUUAUUCAUAUAAGAGAUGCCUUUUUAUCUGCGAGUAUAUGCAGAUUAGCAAAUCAAAUAAGUAUAUUGUUGCAAAUAUUUUUCUUUGGGCAGUAGAAGUGGCAAAUAUUCUACUUAUGACUGGCAACAGAUAUCAGCUUACAAAGAAAAAGGGAGGCACCAUAUAGGUUAUAGAGCAAUCUUGUUUCUCAGAGAGAGAAAUGCUUUUACAAGAGCCUGCGUCCAAAACUAAACUGCUUGUUGUUUCAAAUGUUUUGGCAUCCAUAUUUCAAACCCAGGCUGCCUUUCUUUUCCAUCCCAAAUCUAAGCUCUGACAUAGAGAAUACAGCAGCUUCCCCAAAAUUCAAAUGAUGAAUGAUGACUCCAUAACAGCUUAAAUAUCUCAUUACCGUGAACAAAUUGGAGAAGCAAUGUGAGAAGACCACCAUGUCAAACACUGAUUGUGACUACCCAAAAGAGGAACAAAUGCAUCUUAUUCAUAGGAUUGAUGAGAACAGGAGAAAACCUGCAUAUAAUGCAGUGGUGGGUUGCUGCCGGUUCAGACUGGUUCAGGCGAACCGGUAGUUCCGACCAGUGGCUGGGUCCACCCACCUGCCCUGGAGCUAUCAUGUCCUAUAUAAUCAUUGUUUUUUUGAUGCCACAUGCAUGUGCGGAAGGCACGCGCAAGAGCGAAGCUAGCAUGCGUGCGCUCACAUUUUCGAUUCUGGGCGAGCCUAUUGUUACAGUAUGUAACGCCUACCUCUGGCAUAAUGGUGACUACUCUUGCUGGAUUGUCUACAGGUAGUCCUUGACUUACAACCAUUCAUUCAGUGACCAUUCAAAGUUGCAAUGAUGCUGAAAAAGGUGACUUAUGACUGUUUUUCACAUUUAGAACUGUUGCAGCACCUCUAGGUCACAUGAUCAAAAUACUGACACUUGGGAACCAGCAAGUAUUUAUGCUGGUUGCAUUGUCCAAGGGUCAUGUUUGCAACCUUCUGGAAAGCAAAGUCAACGGGAAAGCCAGAUUCACUUAACAACCAUGUUAUUAAUUUAACAGCUGCAGUGAUUCACUUGCACAACUAUGGCAAGAAAGAUAAUAAAAUGAGGUAAAACUGCCUUGUUUAGCAAUGGAAACUUUGGACUCAGUUGUGAUCAUAAGUAGAGAAUUAUCUGUAUUAGUGAUUUAUCACUUUAAAGGGUGGACUUGUGGAGGGAGGGUUUGUUUGAAACGGCCACUUCUUUACCUGUAAAGUUGGCCUAUCUAAUGAUGUUAUCAAGUGUGUUUUCAGAAGGACAGGUGUGGCAUGAAAAGAUAUCCCUUGGGCUAUGACUGACACAUAUUGAUAAAUCUCAGUGUUCCCAAGCUAUGGUGGCUUGUGAGCAAUUUAGAGGGAGAAUUGCUAAAAUAUUUGGAAUCUGAUCAGGGAAAACUUGAGCACCAUUAAUAUUUAUUCUGAGUUUUACCAGUGCAAGCAUGUAAAAUUUGAGAACCUCUGCAAUACAUAGAUUAAAUUGUAAAUAUUAAAAGUAGAUGGUAAAUUGAUUUCUGAUUGAUCCCAACCCUAUUCUAAUGAGAUCAUUAAAUGUAUCCUAUGAAAUGUUUGCUCAAAUUAAUUUCUCAUUUUAGGGGACAUCAGUAGGACCAAACAUGAGAACUCCUGCAGUAACUAACUGAAAGCUGGAUUCUAUUCUGAAGUCCCUAUAAAAUGCAACUUUAAAGGAUUAGAGAAAUCCCGCACUAUGAAGCCUACAAAACACCUUAAUUAGUUGUCUUAUUUUUUUGUAUUCCAAAACAACCAUAGGAAGAACAUUUAUCACCUGUGAAAUAAACUGCAAGAACAGCUUGUGAUCAUAGACAAUGGAAUGAUUAGUGAACAGGCAUGGCCCCCAUUCCUGGUUUACAAGAAUCAUAGUCAUCCAAGGUUUUGCAUAAUGUUGCAGUGUUCUCACCAACCUAGCCAUUUUUGCAAGUUAAUUGCUUUCCAAGGACUGGACACACCACCAUGUACACACUGCUUGCAGCCCACACCUACUGCACACUGUAAAUCUGUACACACUGCUUGCAGCCCACACCUACCCCAACUACAGGGUAUUAUUCUGGGUCAACCCUACCCUUCUAGUUUUUGCAAGGUGAUCUUGGCACCUAAGUAUCACUGUAAUACUCAUUCCUUUAUACUAAGUAUUUUAAAUGUUUAUGGAGAUUCUCAGUCAUCCAGGUGAUGGUUAUUCCAAAUGUGCUUUUUCAAAAGGCAAUUGUUUUUCCUUGAAGACAGUUUACUUCUCAUCCAAGAAGCCUCAUCAGAACUCAAGAAGCUUCUUGGAUCAGAAGUGCUUUUUAAAGAAAAAACAAAGUCCAGUUGCCUUUUGAAAAAGCACCUUUGGGAUGACUUGGGUUUUUUUUAAUACUCAGUUCAAACAGAAGUCUCAAACUUGCAUACAACCUUUGCCUUUUCCCAAAAAUUCUUGUACUAGUUGGGAUGAGGUGCCACUUCCUUUCUGAUUACUAUCAAGCUUCUGGCAAAGCUCCAAACAGAUUUCCAACAGUAUUUGCUGUUCCCCAUAGCUUGUAUUUCUGGCAGUUGAAUAACAGUCCUCUUGCCUGCUUGUAAUAGCUGUUAAUUUAAUCUAAGACACAUCUAUUUAUCUGCGCAGGACUGGACUAGAAUUUUAAAUUUUAAUUUGGUUUUAAUGGGGUUUUAUUAUUUGUAUUGCUAUUUUUAAUUAUUCGGCCUUAUGUAAUAAGUUUUUUAAUGGAUGUUUUAUCGUGUAUUUAUAUGUAUAUUUUAUCUGGCUGUGAACCGCCCUGAGUCCCUAGGGAGAUAGGGCGGUAUAUAAAUGCGAAAAAUAAAUAAAUAAAUAAAUAAAA